CCUACGGGCGGCUGCAGUCGAGGAUCUUCGGCAAUGGGCGCAAGCCUGACCGAGCGACGCCGCGUGUGCGAUGAAGGCCUUCGGGUUGUAAAGCACUGUCGAGAGGGAGAAAAGCGCAAGCUUGAUCUAUCUCUGGAGGAAGCACGGGCUAAGUUCGUGCCAGCAGCCGCGGUAAGACGAACCGUGCGAACGUUGUUCGGAAUCACUGGGCUUAAAGGGCGCGUAGGCGGGUCUUCAAGUUGGGGGUGAAAGCCGCCGGCUCAACCGGAGAACUGCCGCGAAUACUGACGAUCUCGAGGGGGAUAGGGGCAUGCGGAACUACGGGUGGAGCGGUGAAAUGCGUUGAUAUCCGUAGGAACUCCGGUGGCGAAGGCGGCGUGCUGGAUCCCUUCUGACGCUGAGGCGCGAAAGCCAGGGGAGCAAACGGGAUUAGAUACCCUAGUAGUC
This 447-nucleotide ribosomal RNA is filed under the name uncultured bacterium. RNAcentral describes it as "partial 16S ribosomal RNA". It matches the Rfam family "Bacterial small subunit ribosomal RNA", at positions 338 to 795 of the family's 1533-position model. The record is from RNAcentral.